Pelobates cultripes (western spadefoot toad) is the source of this 162-nucleotide non-coding RNA. The record is from the annotation of a GenBank genome assembly. NCBI's taxonomy places the organism in Eukaryota, Metazoa, Chordata, Amphibia, Anura, Pelobatidae.
AAUACCGGCACUCUAGGAGUUUCCAAUCUUAAAUUUUCUUUUAUUCCAAAAAUGACGUUAACGUUUCAGCUCCCCGUGGAGCUUUCAUCAGAGCUAAAACGUUGACGUCGUUUUUGGAAUAAAAGAAAAUUUAAGAUUGGAAACUCCUAGAGUGCCGGUAUU